CAGGCCUAACACAUGCAAGUCGAACGGUAAMGGUCUUCGGAUGCUGACGAGUGGCGAACGGGUGAGUAAUACAUCGGAACGUGCCCGAUCGCGGGGGAUAACGGAGCGAAAGCUUUGCUAAUACCGCAUACGAUCUACGGAUGAAAGCAGGGGACCGCAAGGCCUUGCGCGGACGGAGCGGCCGAUGGCAGAUUAGGUAGUUGGUGGGGUAACGGCCCACCAAGGCAUCGACGGGUAGCUGGUCUGAGAGGACGAUCAGCCACACUGGGACUGAGACACGGCCCAGACUCCUACGGGAGGCAGCAGUGGGGAAUAUUGGACAAUGGGGGCAACCCUGAUCCAGCCAUGCCGCGUGUGUCAAGAAGGUCUUCGGAUUGUAAAGCACUUUAAGUUGGGAGGAAGGGCAGUAAGUUAAUACCUUGCUGUUUUGACGUUACCGACAGAAUAAGCACCGGCAAACUCCGUGCCAGCAGCCGCGGUAAU
Molecule: ribosomal RNA, 483 nt
Filed under: uncultured Acidovorax sp.
Lineage: Bacteria; Pseudomonadati; Pseudomonadota; Betaproteobacteria; Burkholderiales; Comamonadaceae
Description: bacterial SSU rRNA
Rfam family: Bacterial small subunit ribosomal RNA
Source: RNAcentral